RNAcentral lists this long non-coding RNA (1030 nucleotides) under Canis lupus familiaris (dog). Its description in RNAcentral is "lncRNA (ENSCAFG00030005233.1)". The record is from RNAcentral. Lineage: Eukaryota; Metazoa; Chordata; Mammalia; Carnivora; Canidae.
AUGAAUGAGAGUAAACAAAUGGUCUUGGUCUUUACUUUGAUUCCUCUGAAUUCACAAAGAUGGUACUACCUGGAUGGUGGUGCUGGUGGUCCAGAAGUUUUUGGCUUCUCUAACCACAGCUGACUGCUGCUAAGUUUAAAGAAAAACCAGAAGUAAUAUAGUACCCAAGUUAAGAGCUAGACUGGAUUGGAAUACUCCUUUAUGAACAAUGAGCUGUAUGGCCUUGGGUAAGUCACUUUACCUUCCUAUGCCUCAGUUCCCUCAUCCAUUAAAUGGGACUAUAAUAGUAGCAGUCUCUUAGGCUUGGGGUGAAUAUUAAAUAUAAAUGAAAAGAGAAUCAAAUGUAUAAAUUAAAUGAUAAUAUGUAAGACACUUAGAACAACACAAGGCACUUUGUAAAUGCUAUGUAUUUGCUCUUAUCGUUAACACAUUUUGAAGUUUAUAUAUUUGACAGAUUAUUUUACGUGCUAUAUCAUUGCUCAAUUCAACUGCUGUAACAUAUACUAUUGUCUACAUAUGCCAUAAUAUAUUUAUUUUAUCCUCUUGUUGAUGGAUAAUUGCUUCUUCCAACGACAAGUACAAACAAUAAGAAGAUGAACACUUUUGCACUCAUUGCCUGAAUAUGAUCUACAAAAAUAUCGCAAGAUAAAUACUCAGAAGAAUUCCUGGCUUAUAGGGUAUGCACACCAACAGAUUUACUUGAUAUUGCCAAAUUGCUCUCCAAGCAGUUGGGCCAAUUCAUGCUCCUAAUGUCAGUGUGUGAGAAUUUCCAUUGCUCUACAUCCAUGCCAACUCUAGCAUCUUUACCAAUCUGGUGGGUGUGAAAUGGGAGUGAAUGGCAUCUCAUUGUUUACAUUUUAUUACCAAUUGGGCUGAAAGCCUUUUCAUAUGUUUAUUGGCCAUUUGUGAUUCCUCUUCUGUUCCUAUCCUUUGCCCAUUUUUCUACUGAGUUUUCUUUUCCUUACUGCUUUGAAAGAGUUCUUUAAGUAUGGUUAGGUAAUUAUUAUCUACUGGUUUUAGAGAUUGCAAA